GAGUUUGAUCUUGGCUCAGAUUGAACGCUGGCGGUAUGCUUAACACAUGCAAGUCGAACGGUAAUAGGAGAGAGCUUGCUCUUUUGCUGACGAGUGGCGGACGGGUGAGUAAUGCGUAGGAAUCUGCCUAGUAGUGGGGGACAACGUGUGGAAACGCACGCUAAUACCGCAUACGCCCUACGGGGGAAAGCGGGGAUCUUCGGACCUCGCGCUAUUAGAUGAGCCUACGUUAGAUUAGCUAGUUGGUGGGGUAAAGGCCUACCAAGGCGACGAUCUAUAGCUGGUCUGAGAGGAUGAUCAGCCACACUGGGACUGAGACACGGCCCAGACUCCUACGGGAGGCAGCAGUGGGGAAUAUUGGACAAUGGGCGAAAGCCUGAUCCAGCAAUACCGCGUGUGUGAAGAAGGCCUGAGGGUUGUAAAGCACUUUCAAUUGUGAAGAAAUAUUUAAGGUUAAUAACCUUAAAUUUUAGACGUUAACUUUAGUAAGAAG
RNAcentral lists this ribosomal RNA (493 nucleotides) under uncultured microorganism. RNAcentral describes it as "bacterial SSU rRNA". It matches the Rfam family "Bacterial small subunit ribosomal RNA", at positions 9 to 490 of the family's 1533-position model. The record is from RNAcentral.